Molecule: ribosomal RNA, 433 nt
Filed under: uncultured bacterium
Lineage: Bacteria
Description: partial 16S ribosomal RNA
Rfam family: Bacterial small subunit ribosomal RNA
Source: RNAcentral
AACGAACGCUGGCGGCAUGCCUAACACAUGCAAGUCGAACGAGGCCUUCGGGUCUAGUGGCGCACGGGUGCGUAACGCGUGGGAACCUGCCCUUAGGUUCGGAAUAACUCCCCGAAAGGGGUGCUAAUACCGGAUAAUGUCUUCGGACCAAAGAUUUAUCGCCUUUGGAUGGGCCCGCGUUGGAUUAGCUAGUUGGUAGGGUAAAAGCCUACCAAGGCGACGAUCCAUAGCUGGUCUGAGAGGAUGAUCAGCCACACUGGGACUGAGACACGGCCCAGACUCCUACGGGAGGCAGCAGUGGGGAAUAUUGGACAAUGGGCGAAAGCCUGAUCCAGCAAGGCCGCGUGAGUGAUGAAGGCCUUAGGGUUGUAAAGCUCUUUUACCCGGGAUGAUAAUGACAGUACCGGGAGAAUAAGCGCCGGCUAACUCCGUG